Molecule: small nuclear RNA, 107 nt
Filed under: Moschus moschiferus (Siberian musk deer)
Lineage: Eukaryota; Metazoa; Chordata; Mammalia; Artiodactyla; Moschidae
Source: RNAcentral
GUGCUCGCUUGCGCCGCAUAUAUACUAAAAUUGGAAUGAUACAGAGAAGAUUAGCAUGGCCCCUAUGCAAGGAUGACACUCAAAUUCGUGAAGCGUUCCAUAUUUUA